This 494-nucleotide ribosomal RNA is filed under the name uncultured bacterium. RNAcentral's name for it is "partial 16S ribosomal RNA". It matches the Rfam family "Bacterial small subunit ribosomal RNA", at positions 28 to 507 of the family's 1533-position model. The record is from RNAcentral.
GACGAACGCUGGCGGCGUGCUUAACACAUGCCAGUCGAACGGAAAGGCCUGGUUUCUGUUGUGGAUUGGGGGGACGCGAGGGGCGAACGGGUGAGUAACACGUGAGUGAUCUGCUGGGAUCUUGGGUAUAAGCCUGGGAAACUGGGUCUAAUUACCGAUAGGACUGCAGGGUGGUGUGGGAGGUGGAGGACGAUUUGCUAGUGGUUGGGGAUGAGCUGGCGGCCUAUCAGCUUGUUGGUGGGGUAAUGACCUACCAAGGCGGCGACGGGUAGCCGGCGUGGGAUGGUGGACGUGCGCAUUGGAACUGAGACACGGCCCAGACUCCUACGCGAGGCAGCAGUGGGGAGUCAUGCACGAUGAGCGUAACCCAGAUGCAGCGAGGCCGCGUCGGCGAUGCCGGGCUCCGGAUUGUGAACUCCUGGCGACAGACAGGUAGCCACCUGGAUGGAAGGGUGGUGACGGUAGUGGUAGAAGAAGCACCGGCUAACUACGUG